RNAcentral lists this ribosomal RNA (465 nucleotides) under uncultured Klebsiella sp. RNAcentral's name for it is "bacterial SSU rRNA". It matches the Rfam family "Bacterial small subunit ribosomal RNA", at positions 338 to 795 of the family's 1533-position model. The record is from RNAcentral. Lineage: Bacteria; Pseudomonadati; Pseudomonadota; Gammaproteobacteria; Enterobacterales; Enterobacteriaceae.
CCUACGGGUGGCAGCAGUGGGGAAUAUUGCACAAUGGGCGCAAGCCUGAUGCAGCCAUGCCGCGUGUGUGAAGAAGGCCUUCGGGUCGUAAAGCACUUUCAGCGGGGAGGAAGGCGGUGAGGUUAAUAACCUCAUCGAUUGACGUUACCCGCAGAAGAAGCACCGGCUAACUCCGUGCCAGCAGCCGCGGUAAUACGGAGGGUGCAAGCGUUAAUCGGAAUUACUGGGCGUAAAGCGCACACAGGCGGUCUGUCAAGUCGGAUGUGAAAUCCCCGGGCUCAACCUGGGAACUGCAUUCGAAACUGGCAGGCUAGAGUCUUGUAGAGGGGGGUAGAAUUCCAGGUGUAGCGGUGAAAUGCGUAGAGAUCUGGAGGAAUACCGGUGGCGAAGGCGGCCCCCUGGACAAAGACUGACGCUCAGGUGCGAAAGCGUGGCGAGCAAACAGGAUUAGAUACCCGUGUAGUC